Molecule: transfer RNA, 75 nt
Filed under: Planctomycetota bacterium
Lineage: Bacteria; Pseudomonadati; Planctomycetota
Description: Planctomycetes bacterium tRNA-Gln
Source: RNAcentral
UCCGGGGUAGUUGCUGCUGGUAGUGACGCCUGGCGCUGAACCAGGAGGCCGUUGGUUCGAUUCCAACUCCCGGAG